Molecule: long non-coding RNA, 3483 nt
Organism: Ahaetulla prasina
Lineage: Eukaryota; Metazoa; Chordata; Lepidosauria; Squamata; Colubridae
Exons: 3
Source: RefSeq, a predicted model, not a curated record
CUUUUGAUCAUUUCAAAGUUAUUUGUGUAUAUAUAAAUACAUUUUUUUUCUUUUGCGUUCGAAAAUAGGUCAGAAUACGAAUGAAGGAGCAAGGCAAGAUUGUUGCUCAUAGUUGCUGUGCUUCCUAAUCAUGCUCACUUGAACGAGCCUUAAAGAUGCCAUAUACUGACAUCCUUCUGAGACAGAACCAAAGCCAGAAAUUUAUAACACUUUAUAGAAGCUUUUUCAACAGGAAUGGAAAGGGAAGGGGAUUGAAUCUAAUCAGAUUGCAAAAGAAACAUUGAACUCUCAGGAAAUGUACACACUUAAUGUGUUAGCACAGUGAUGGCGAACCUAUGGCACGUAUGCCAGAGGUGGCACACAGCGCCCUUUCUGUGGGCACACAAGCCAUCGCCCUGGCUCAGCUCUGCCGCACAUGCACGGGUGCCUCCUACCAGCCAGCUGGUCGUCAGGCCUCUGCUGUGCAUGUGCAGGGUCAGGGCUCAUGCAGGGGGCCACACAGGCAGGGGAGGGGUGCAUGCACGGGGGCCACACGUGCAUUGCAUUUUGGGGUUGGGUGCGCAUGUGCUUUGGGCACUCUGUCUGGAAAAGGUUAGCCAUCACUGUGUUAGCAGAACUGAUCUGACUCUCUCUCUUUUUUGUGCCUCUUUCACUACUGAUUUUACUAACAGAAAUCUAUAUUAAGGUUUUUAUAAUAAGGUGUUAGUGCUACACUUGGAGUGAGUCUUCAGAUAAUUUUGAUGGACAAUGACAAGGAAGACUUCCUAUCUUGGACAAGAAGGCUGAUUCAGGAAAAUGCAGGAGCAUUCAGGAAAGAGUGACUGGUUCAAAAUAAUUCACGUCAGAAACAUGAAGCAUGAUAGUGUAAGGUCCCAGAAGUUUCCCUGAGCCACUGAGAUGCCAAAGAGAGUGAGACUCGAGACUUGCAAAAAAUAUCAGCUUUUAUUUAUUUAUGUCCAAAGCAAAAGCUGGAUGACAAAACUAUAUCCAAAACACAAACAAAAUGCAUGUAAGGAAUAGCCACACCCCUGCGAGAGUGGCUCAAAGUAUUAUAUACAUUUUACACCCUUGGAAACAAAGUUUACCCAAUCAGAGACAAAGGUUCGUUACCAAGGUGAUCUUUAAAACAUUCUUUGUUCAGGCCCCUGUCUCUGUCCACCUUAUCUAUGGAGCAUUCCUAUAGCCUUGUGUAUUCAGCAGAAUGCUUUCAGGAUUCAGAAUUUAUGAAUCCUACUUCCUACUCUGGUUCCUUUAUCUAUGGAGCCUGAUAUUCCUGGGUAACGGUUUCUUCUAUAUUUUCAAGGAUGUGCCUAGCUUUGAAGCCAAGAAUAGAAGCAGGACACAGAAGCAAGAUAACAAACUUUGUACUAAUGAUAACCAGUAUUAAGGUUAUAACUGACUAAGCUAGAGUUAGUUCCUAACAACUAAUUUCUGACAGUAUACAAUAAUAUAAGCAGAAGCCAGUAACAAAGCUUAAUUCCUAAUAAAUGAUUUCUAGCAGUAUAUCAUAUCGGAAGCAAACAGCAAAUAUUGGUUUGAUCACUAUGCUCCUUCAAUAUAACUCAAUUUCUAUUUUAAUAAUCUCAAGUAAACAAUGUCUAUUGGAUAUUUUUUCCCCUUUCCUUUUUUCAUUUUAAAAAUUUGCAUACUGCCCCUACUGUUCGCAAGUUAAAACAAUCCAAAUAAUAAAUGUCCAAAGUUACAAAGAGGAUGGAGCUUCCAAUACAUAAAAAGUGUCUUAGAAUAAAUUCUGAGGCAAUCAGUAAUGUUUGCAACUACAAACAACAUGAAUAUAAGAGCAGCUCCCUAAAUCGCACUGUUCAACUUAACACAAAGAGGGUUGCACACUUUAAAAAAAAAAAUCUGCUUUUGGCAAUUUACAUUAAAAACAAAUUCUAGAACCAAAGCCAAUAAUUUAGGAAAUUUAUUCAGUAUCAAAACCCUUUUUUUCCCCCUACUAGAACUUAGCUCACACCUUUGUUCCUUGUUUUAUAUUUUUUGCCCUGUCCAAAACAUACCUUAAAUAGGACAAACUAACUAAAGAAGCAGGAACUCUUGAUGAGUACAUCAAGAUUAAAUAUUGAAGAGUAAGAGAAGCCAUGUGUUUAAAUUAUUCAUAUUCACACCCACAUACAGGAAAUACUUAUAAUAUUGGGCAUGUCCAAAACAUGUUAAACCAGCUACUUAAUGGCAACACAUAACCAUUCUGGGUCCUGUUUUACUACCUUAGCAACAUUUCUUUGAUUUAGAGAUAAUGUACAGCAAUUGAUAUUUACAGUGAACACUAAGUAAAGCUAUUGCAGGUAAUCCCUGGGUUAUGAGCGUUCCCCUAGCGAACGUUUGAAAUUACACAAUGAGCACCCCCUAGCGUUUAUGAACAAGUCCCAAAACGAUGAAUCCUGUAGCAUCAAGGCAGUUGUUCGCCCUUACGAACAACUGCAGAGGCUCUGCAACAUAUGUCCUGCACAUUGCCGUCCGAAAUGGAGCUUCUGAGAGACAGAUCUGCCCUUCAGAAGCUCCAUUUUGGCCGGCAACAUGCCAAGCGAGGCCUGUGGAGGCCCGAAGAGAGUGUUAGAGGGGUGCAUGCUGCUGAGAGGCUGGAGAGGAGACUGCUUGCUAGAUCUUCACAAGAUUGCCCAGGUGGCUGUCCAAUCUUUUAAUAAAACCUCUAGUGAUGAAGCAUCUAAAACUUCCAAAGACUUGAAAUCCUGGGUUUAGAAAAUUUAGAACUACGCCGCCUUCGACAUGACCUGAGUUUAACUCAUAGAAUCAUCUAUUACAAUGACCUUCCUGUUGAAGACUACUUCAGCUUCAAUUGCAUCAAUACAAGAGCACACAAGAGACUCAAGCUUAAUGUUAACUGCUCCAAUCUUGAUUGCAGAAAAUAUGACUUCAGUAACAGAGUUGUUAAUACUUGGAAUAUACUACCUGACUCUGUGGUCUCUUCCCAAAAUCCCCAAAGCUUUAACCAAAACCUGUCUACUAUUGACCUCACCCCAUUCCUAAGAGGUCUGUAAGGGGCGUGCAUAAGAGCACAAGCAUGCCUACCAUUCCUGUCCUAUUGUUGCCUUUCAUUAUAUCCAAUUAAUAUAGUUAUUACAUACUUAUGCUUAUAUAAAUGCUUAUAUAUUAUAUAGUUAUUUCAUGCUUAUGCUUAUAUAUACUGUGUGACAAAUAAAUAAAUAAAAUAAAGUAAUAGAGUCCUUAAAAUCUGGAAUGCCCAAUCUCUGUGAUGGCGAACCUAUGGCACAUGUGCCACAGGUGCCACUCGUAGCCAUAUCACUGGGCAUACCAGCUUAGCUCCGGCGUACAUGCUCAUGCCAGCCAGCUGAUUUUCGGGCCUUCUGGGCCCACCAGAAGUAGGGAAACAGGCUGUCUCCUGCCUCCGGAGGGCCUGGGGGUGUGGGGAGGAAGGCAUGUUUUUCUUUCUCCCCUGGCUCCAGAUUCUCUUUAUGCAUCUAGGGAGGGCGAAAGCAACCUUCC